UACGUAGGGCGCAAGCGUUAUCCGGAAUUAUUGGGCGUAAAGAGCUCGUAGGCGGUUUGUCGCGUCUGCCGUGAAAGUCCGGGGCUCAACUCCGGAUCUGCGGUGGGUACGGGCAGACUAGAGUGAUGUAGGGGAGACUGGAAUUCCUGGUGUAGCGGUGAAAUGCGCAGAUAUCAGGAAGAACACCAAUGGCGAAAGCAGCUUUCUGGGACGGUACUGACGCUGAGACGCGAAAGCGUGGGGAGCGAACAGG
RNAcentral lists this ribosomal RNA (253 nucleotides) under uncultured bacterium. Its description in RNAcentral is "partial 16S ribosomal RNA". It matches the Rfam family "Bacterial small subunit ribosomal RNA", at positions 524 to 776 of the family's 1533-position model. The record is from RNAcentral.